This 474-nucleotide ribosomal RNA is filed under the name uncultured bacterium. RNAcentral describes it as "SSU rRNA". It matches the Rfam family "Bacterial small subunit ribosomal RNA", at positions 26 to 518 of the family's 1533-position model. The record is from RNAcentral.
AGGACGAACGCUGGCGGCGUGCUUAACACAUGCAAGUCGAGCGGAAAGGCCCUUCGGGGUACUCGAGCGGCGAACGGGUGAGUAACACGUGAGUAAUCUGCCCCUAGCUCUGGGAUAGCUCCGGGAAACCGGGAUUAAUACCGGAUAUGACCACUUUAGACAUCUGUUGUGGUGGAAAGAAUUUCGGCUAGGGAUGAGCUCGCGGCCUAUCAGCUUGUUGGUGGGGUAACGGCCUACCAAGGCGACGACGGGUAGCCGGCCUGAGAGGGCGACCGGCCACACUGGGACUGAGACACGGCCCAGACUCCUACGGGAGGCAGCAGUGGGGAAUAUUGCGCAAUGGGCGAAAGCCUGACGCAGCGACGCCGCGUGGGGGAUGAAGGCCUUCGGGCUGUAAACCCCUUUCAGCAGGGACGAAGCGAAAGUGACGGUACCUGCAGAAGAAGCGCCGGCUAACUACGUGCCAGCAGCCGC